This 216-nucleotide ribosomal RNA is filed under the name Glomeromycotina sp. Its description in RNAcentral is "partial small subunit ribosomal RNA". The stretch from base 40 to 216 matches the Rfam family "Eukaryotic small subunit ribosomal RNA", at positions 686 to 864 of the family's 1831-position model. Lineage: Eukaryota; Fungi; Glomeromycota. The record is from RNAcentral.
GGGUCAGUAGGUUGGUCGUGCCACCGGUACGUACUGGUCUCACUGAUUCCUCCUUCCUGAAGAACCGUAAUGCCAUUAAUUUGGUGUUGCGGGGAAACAGGACUGUUACUUUGAAAAAAUUAGAGUGUUUAAAGCAAGCUAACGCUUGAAUACAUUAGCAUGGAAUAAUGAAAUAGGUCGAUCGAUCCUAUUUUGUUGGUUUCUAGGAUUGACGUA